This 88-nucleotide transfer RNA is filed under the name Mesorhizobium ciceri biovar biserrulae WSM1271. RNAcentral's name for it is "tRNA-Leu (CAA) (tRNA-Leu-CAA-2-1)". The record is from RNAcentral. Lineage: Bacteria; Pseudomonadati; Pseudomonadota; Alphaproteobacteria; Hyphomicrobiales; Phyllobacteriaceae.
GGAGAACAGUGGCUUGCGGAAAGCCGCAGAAAGUCGUCGAACCACCCUUCACACGGGUGGGGUCGCAGGUUCAAUCCCUGCAUCGCCC